RNAcentral lists this RNase P RNA (396 nucleotides) under Antarcticimicrobium sediminis. Its description in RNAcentral is "Bacterial RNase P class A". It matches the Rfam family "Bacterial RNase P class A". Rfam says of the family: Ribonuclease P (RNase P) is a ubiquitous endoribonuclease, found in archaea, bacteria and eukarya as well as chloroplasts and mitochondria. Its best characterised activity is the generation of mature 5'-ends of tRNAs by cleaving the 5'-leader elements of precursor-tRNAs. Lineage: Bacteria; Pseudomonadati; Pseudomonadota; Alphaproteobacteria; Rhodobacterales; Paracoccaceae. The record is from Rfam by way of RNAcentral.
GCGGAGGGCCGGAUGGCCGCGGCGGCCUUCGGGGCGUCGAGGAAAGUCCGGACUCCAUGAAGCAACGGUGCCGGGUAACGCCCGGGCGGGGCAACCCGACGGAAAGCGCCACAGAAAUGAAACCGCCAUGCUCCGGCAUGGUAAGGAUGAAACGGUGGGGUAAGAGCCCACCGCGCCGCUGGUAACAGGGGCGGCAUGGCAAGCCCUACCGGGAGCAAUGCCAAAUAGGACCCCCGCGCGGGCCGGUCCCCGCAAGGGGAAACCGCCGCUAGGCUUGCUUCAGCCAAGAGGGGUCGGGUUGGCAGCACGAGGCGCAGCGCGAGCUGCGUCCCAGAUGAAUGGUCAUCGACGGGGGCAACCCCUGAACAAAAUCCGGCUUACAGGCCCUCCGCGCUA